UGUCGUGGAAUAGUUACUUUUCUUACUGGUAGUAUUUGGUAGUAUUUAGGAAGUAUUAUAUUAAUAUUAAUAUUAAUACUAUCAAUGUAUAUACUGUAUAUAUAUUAUUCGCAAUCUUGUACCCAUCGUUGAUAAUGUUUUAUUAUUAUUAAAAUAUGGAACGUAAAUGAUCAAAGGAUAGACAAGGAGUAGUAACGAAUUUCAAAAACAUGAUAAGAGAAAAAAAGAAAAAUGAUAAAAUAAGAAAUUAAAUUUUGUAUUAAAGUUUUAUAUCUUCAUGUAUAAAGGGAGUAUUGAAAAAAUGUAUAGUUUCAUAUUUAACAUUUAUCUAGAGAAAUUUGCACGGUAUCACCAGACAAAUGGCAAUCGUCUCUGGCUAUAAACAAUUUGUGUAAAUUCCUUUAAAACAAUGUAAUGUAGCGGUCUUUAUGCGUGUACAAUUAAUUGAAUUGUAACUAAAAAUAAGCGAUAAACAUCUGGGAUGUGUCAACGAAUCUUCAAAGAAAGAUUUUUGUUGAUUAUUUAGCAUGAUUUUUAAGUGGUGAGGAAGGAUUUCGUACUGACACAAUGUAUGCGAUUUCCGAGUAAUCUUCAUAAGUUUAAAAUGUUAAGUGUCCCCUGUCGAUAAAUGUUUAAAGAGUUCUCAUAAUCGGUGGGAAAAUUAUCAUAACUGAAUAAAGGAAGAUCAGCUUUCCAAGUAAUCGAAGACGCAGUUGUUUGAAAUCGUACGAUGAUGAUUUAGUCUAUUGUUUGAUAUCAACAACACUGCUGUGAAAAUUUCAAGUUUUGACGUGUACUAAGCUAUUUUACGACGAAACGUAAAGAAAUGAGGUCGUAUUGAAGCUGGAACCUUUGUUUUUAGGUGCGUUGGAACAUAGAUAGUGUUGCUGUUCAUCUCUUCGAGUACAAGUAUCUCUAUGAUGUUUUCAUCAGGUCUUAGUUGUAAUCUCUCCUUCCCCAGUUGCCUGGGUUCCCCACAGGACAGUGAAGAAUUAAUACCAAAAAUGGCUCGUGAGCCAAUAAUUCUUAACGUCUAUGAUAUGUAUUGGAUGAAUGAAUAUACUACACCUAUAGGAUUGGGUGUGUUUCAUUCAGGAGUAGAGAUAUAUGGAACAGAAUAUGCAUAUGGAGGCCAUUCUAGACCAAUUUCUGGUAUAUUUGAAAUUACACCGCGUGUUGCUGAUGAACUAGGAGAUCAAUUUAGAUAUAGGCAAUCAGUACAUAUUGGUUAUACAGAUUUCACGGAAGAAGACGUGAACAGAAUUGUUGCUGAAUUAGGAAAAGAUUUUAGGGGCGAUCGUUAUCAUUUAAUGAACAAAAAUUGUAAUCACUUCAGUAGCCAACUUACACUCAUUUUAUGUGGUCAAGGAAUACCAGGUUGGGUAAAUCGUCUUGCGUACUUUAGUUCUUGUGUACCAUUCCUUCAGCGUUGUUUACCAAAGGAAUGGUUAACUCCUGACGCGCUUCAACAUUCUUUGAUCAGCUAUCAUGAAAGCACACCGCCUUCCGAUACUUCCUUGUAACAUUUAGCUCAUUCUGUGGAAAGGAGAGGUCUAAAAUGCCGUAGGAGUUACACCUUUUAGAGAAUUUAUGCAACAAACAAAGGAAGUUUGAACAGUGAAUAUAUACAUCGCCAGGAUCAUGGAAUCCAAGAAACAAAACCGUCAAAAUGAGACAAGACUUGGUUCGAAGACAAGGCAACAUAAGACAAACAGAUGCGUCUUUGAUUUUAGAACCCUUAAGUAACAAUGGCGAAAGAUAGGCGAAAAUGAUUGAUUUCCGUUGGUAAGUACAAUAACACGUACGUUACUAUAAUUUAUAAACAUACCUCGAUUACACGUCUAGAAUAGUUCUAGAACUCAUUUUUUAAACUUUUAUUUUAUUCCGAUACGGACAGCAAUACCUGUAUUAUUAUUUCUUUGUUCGAUAACAUUAACACGUUUCUUCUAUUAACGGUUUCGUCUAUACUGUAAUAUAAGAAUGUCAAACCUAUUGCGUCGAUAUAUAUAAUAUAUAUAUAUAUAUAUACUUUAUUUAUAAUAUAUAUUCUCGUGUCUUACCAUUAUACAAAUGUGAUGAAGACGACGUUUCAUGGUUUUUCUUUUUUGGUAUUAUUAUUCAUAUUGUAGUUGCAUUAUGUUAACAUUGUUGUCUAUCAACGAUGACUUUAUUUUCAAAGAGUUGGAACUUCGGUUUUUUUAUACGUAUUCGACGUGGUUUUACGAAAAUAAAAAAUUGAAUUACACGGAAUGUAAUGUGUCAAUAUUUUUACCAGUAACAUUUUCAAUAUUCCAUAAAAUUUUCGAUAGCUUCUAAACUUUUUCCGUUAAAAUUCGUUAUAAAUAUAUGAAAAUUUCAAAUGCAAGAUUUAAAUUCAGAAUUAUUAUUUUUUACACAUAUUUAAUUUUUGUGUAUUUAACAGUUGAAGUGAUACUGUAUUAAUCAUUGGCUCUUCAUACAACUGUACGACAUGCCCAAACACUUUAAGCCAAAGAACUACAUUCAAUCCCCGUAACAUUUUGUAUAAUCAAGCAACUCGGGAUUCUUGACCAUUAAAUGUUAUUCCAUAUUUUCAACUACUGGCAUAGAAUCCUGAGACAGAUAUUUUUGUUUUACCAACUCUUUUCUUCUAGUAUAGUUAGCAAAUUUUUAUAAAUGUACAUGAAAAAUGUAUAUAUUUUAUACAUUAAAACAUAUAAAAUUUGUAUGAUGUCUGUGUAUUUGUUGGAAUUUCAUUCUUGUUCGCUCUAGUCUUACAUCUAUAAAACGAAUUGAAUGCAACUGAUUAACCGUUAGGUAGUCACUACAAUUUAAAAGUAACAUGUAAUUUUUUUGGAUUAGUUAAUUUUUAAAUGUUUUAAUAUAAAAGUAAUAAAGGUGCUGUAGUAUCGUAUGGCAUUUAUGGUACCGUCUUAAAACACUUGCAAAAAGAUUAUCUGGUUCGAACUAAGCGGUAUAAUUAUAAUCUUUGUUUAGUUUUCGAUACUGUUGUCAGUCGUUAUGCGCUACACUUGUAUCCCAUACUUGAUCAACGUAUUAUUUUUUCUGUUAAAUAAAUUUUUAUAAUAUUACUUGCUGAUUAAUGAUAGCGAAAACCGUACAUUUAUAAGAGAAACAAAAUUUUUUCGUUGCAGUAAGGAUAAAUCAAUGUUCAACAUCGCUUCUUUACUGUUGUUAUAAUACUCGUUUGUUUGUGUAAAAAUGUAUAGCCACCUUGCUUAAUGACUAUCUAUUAUCAGCAGGAGCUUCCGAUACAUUGCACGAUUAUUCUAUUAUUCACACGCUGAAUAAUAUGAUGCACCUUACUGCAUUAUGACGCAAUAGAAAAUAUUUAGUCAUAAGGCAUCAGAUCGAUUCACAUCUUUCGAAAUUCGUUAUGCUGCUAAGAAUGAUUAAGUAUAUAAUUUACUCGAAACUAUUCUUUUAUACCUAGAUUCAAAAGUAGGUACGAUAGAUUAAGUAGAUUAAUUCUUUUAUUGCUAGAUAAUUUGACUGAGAUUUCGAUUUCGUUAAAUUUAAGAAAGUUAGUCGCAAUGAUUAAAAAUUAAAAUUAUGCAUACAAAAUCUGCAUUAAAAUUCAAGAAGAAACGAAAGAAACGAUACCUACUUCGGUAAUAUAUGGCAUCGUAAAGCUGGCUCGUUGAUCUUCAAACACAAAUUAUUUACAAUAAUUUAUCAUUAUAUUAAUUAUAAAUUGCCUUGUUAAGUAUAUAACUUAUUAUGCAUAAAUUCUCGAUUACCAGAAAGUUAUUGCAAUGCAUAGUCAAAAUUCAACUUAAAAUAACGUAUUCAUCAGAUCUUAAAAUGUGCAACUUCUCGAUCCAGCUGUACAUAAAAAAUAUUAUGCUUUUAGUUGUACAUUUUUAAUAUGCUUUAGUGAAAUGCACAAUAUUGAGAAAUUUAUUGCACAAAAAUUGGAGGAAGAAGAAAGAAAUGCGAUAACUUUCCAGCUGAAAAAAAAAACAAACACGGAUGUCGUUUUGCGUAAAGAUAUUACCAUAAAUACUGUAAUCCUAUCACACGAUUACAGUAACUUAUAUC
Hylaeus anthracinus is the source of this 4041-nucleotide RNA transcript. It is a transcript of the gene named deubiquitinase DESI2, with no coding region annotated. The record is from RefSeq and is a predicted model, not a curated record. NCBI's taxonomy places the organism in Eukaryota, Metazoa, Arthropoda, Insecta, Hymenoptera, Colletidae. The transcript is spliced from 7 exons.